AUACAGAGGUGGCAAGCGUUGUUCGGAAUUAUUGGGCGUAAAGAGCGCGUAGGUGGGUUUGUAAGUCAGAUGUGAAAGCCUUCUGUUCAACGGAAGAAUUGCAUCUGAAACUGCGAAUCUUGAGUGUAGGAGGGGAGAAUGGAACUUCUGGUGGAGCGGUGAAAUGCGUAGAUAUCAGAAGGAACGCCGGCGGCGAAAGCGAUUCUCUGGCCUAUUACUGACACUCAGUGCGCGAAAGCUAGGGGGGCAAACGGGAUUAGAAACCCCAUUAGUCC
This 275-nucleotide ribosomal RNA is filed under the name uncultured bacterium. Its description in RNAcentral is "partial 16S ribosomal RNA". It matches the Rfam family "Bacterial small subunit ribosomal RNA", at positions 523 to 796 of the family's 1533-position model. The record is from RNAcentral.